CCUACGGUGGGCAGCAGUGGGGAAUAUUGCACAAUGGGGGAAACCCUGAUGCAGCGACGCCGCGUGAGUGAAGACGUAUUUCGGUAUGUAAAGCUCUAUCAGCAGGGAAGAAAAUGACGGUACCUGAUUAAGAAGCCCCGGCUAACUACGUGCCAGCAGCCGCGGUAAUACGUAGGGGACCAGCGUUAUCCGGAUUUACUGGGUGUAAAAGGAGCGUAGACGGCAGCACAAGUCUGGAGGGAAAUGCCGGGGCUUAAACCCCGAACUGCCUUUGAAACUGUGAAGCUUGAGUGCAUGAGAGGUAAGUGGAAUGCCUAGUGUAGCGGUGAAAUGUGUAGAUAUUAGGAGGAACACCAGUGGCGAAGGCGGCUUACUGGACUGUAACUGACGUUGAGGCUCGAAAGCGUGGGGAGCAAACAGGAUUAGAUACCCUUGUAGUC
RNAcentral lists this ribosomal RNA (440 nucleotides) under uncultured bacterium. Its description in RNAcentral is "partial 16S ribosomal RNA". It matches the Rfam family "Bacterial small subunit ribosomal RNA", at positions 338 to 795 of the family's 1533-position model. The record is from RNAcentral.